Molecule: ribosomal RNA, 515 nt
Filed under: uncultured bacterium
Lineage: Bacteria
Description: partial 16S ribosomal RNA
Rfam family: Bacterial small subunit ribosomal RNA
Source: RNAcentral
GAUGAACGCUGGCGGCGUGCCUAAUACAUGCAAGUCGAGCGAAUGGAUUGAGAGCUUGCUCUUAUGAAGUUAGCGGCGGACGGGUGAGUAACACGUGGGUAACCUGCCCAUAAGACUGGGGUAACUCCGGGAAACCAGGGCUAAUACCGGAUAACAUUUUGAACCGCAUGGUUCGAAAUUGAAAGGCGGCUUCGGCUGUCACUUAUGGAUGGACCCGCGUCGCAUUAGCUAGUUGGUGAGGUAACGGCUCACCAAGGCAACGAUGCGUAGCCGACCUGAGAGGGUGAACGGCCACACUGGGACUGAGACACGGCCCAGACCCCUACGGGAGGCAGCAGUAGGGAAUCUUCCGCAAUGGACGAAAGUCUGACGGAGCAACGCCGCGUGAGUGAUGAAGGCUUUCGGGUCGUAAAACUCUGUUGUUAGGGAAGAACAAGUGCUAGUUGAAUAAGCUGGCACCUUGACGGUACCUAACCAGAAAGCCACGGCUAACUACGUGCCAGCCGCCGCAGUAA